RNAcentral lists this long non-coding RNA (258 nucleotides) under Mytilus galloprovincialis (Mediterranean mussel). The record is from RNAcentral. Lineage: Eukaryota; Metazoa; Mollusca; Bivalvia; Mytilida; Mytilidae.
UAAAUUAGGCCACAAUUAAAAAUAUUUUGGUUUGCCCAAACCCUACCCAAGGUUGAGACAGUGGGUAGGUAGGUAGGCAUUUUCUUUUUUUUUUUCAAAAAAAGAAAUUGAAGCAUCAGGUGUUUAUUAAUCUUCAUGACUAUUUGAUUUAAAAAAAAAAACUUCUUCAAAUCAGGACAAUAAAAGAAUUUGAGUAGGCAGCUUUUUUCUGGGUAGGUAGGGUUUGGGCAAACAAACCUAUUCUUUUUUAUGGCCUUA